Molecule: ribosomal RNA, 539 nt
Filed under: Pinnularia acidicola
Lineage: Eukaryota; Bacillariophyta; Bacillariophyceae; Sellaphorales; Pinnulariaceae
Description: partial 28S ribosomal RNA
Rfam family: Eukaryotic large subunit ribosomal RNA
Source: RNAcentral
UAUAAAUAAGCGGAGGAAAAGAAACUAACAAGGAUUGACGUAGUAAGGGCGACUGAACUGUCAAGAGCUCACCGUGUGAAUCAGCGUGCGCAAGUGCGUUGAAUUGUGGUUUGGAGGUGUAUGCACUAUUGCGCAGGGCAAAGUCCCUUGGAAGAGGGCAGCAUAGAGGGUGAUACUCCCGUUUGCCUUGUGCUUGAGCGUAUACCAAUGAGUCGAGUUGUUUGGGAUUGCAGCUCAAAGCCGGUGGUAAAUUCCAUCGAAAGCUAAAUAUUGGUGGGAGACCGAUAGCGCACAAGUACCGUGAGGGAAAGAUGCAAAGAACUUUGAAAAGAGAGUUAAAGAGUGCCUGAAAUUGCUGAGAAGGAAGCGAAGGAAAGUAGUGAGUAGCUGCGCCAUACUUCCUGACCUGCUUGCUGGUUGGGCGCUGUGGUCAGCGAGGUUCAACUUGGUUCGGUUGAUGGAAGUUGCAGCAGCAACAGAAUGUUGCAGCUGCUUGACGUUGGCUGGACUGGGAGGAACGAAAUGGUUUUCUUUGCCCC